Molecule: long non-coding RNA, 1064 nt
Organism: Diospyros lotus (date-plum)
Lineage: Eukaryota; Viridiplantae; Streptophyta; Magnoliopsida; Ericales; Ebenaceae
Exons: 3
Source: RefSeq, a predicted model, not a curated record
CCCCCGAUCUACAAGGAGGCUCAGAUUCUCAGGAUUUUGUUCGAUCUUCUCCCCAGACUCGGACUUGAGUCAUCGUUUCCCAGGCGAGUAGACAGGAUAUGUUAUGUUUACCAUAUUUUUAUGCACAUAUAUAAAUUGUUCUAUGCAUAACUUGUAAAUGAUUUCUAUAUUCAAAUCAUAGAAAAUAUUCUCUUUUAAUUGUUCCUAAAUUACAUGAAAUAUUUUCAUCCUACUAGGAGAGACAUAAACAGAAAGAUACCCUAACUGAUUUCUUGUUUUGAGAAUGUAAAAUGUUGAAUGAUAUGGUGUAUUUUAGACACCACAUGAAAUGAUAAAUGAUUAUGACUUGUGCAUAAAUUAGGGUAUCAUUUGCAUUAUUAUUAGAGGACUAUCUAGUAGAUUCCCUGGUGACUCACAGCAGGAAAAGAUCAUGGUACUGUGAGGCUUGGCAUGCCAAGGCCAUGAGAGACACGGAUAGUAUGUUUCAGCACUGCUAUCACGUGGGCCUUUAUGAUGAUAUUGUGUGAUGAUGAUGUAUGUGCCGAUAUAUAUACUUGUGUGCAUGUGUAUAUAGGCGUUAGGCCAGUUUCUACUAGUGUGUCCUCAGAAUCAGUGCAUGCAUCUCAUACAAAAGUAUAGGGGACUUAGGUGGUUAGGGAACUACUUAUGGGGGUUGUCUUUAGGCACCUAUUUUUCCUACACUAUGUUUUCCUUUGAAACCUCAAAUUAUUUAAACUUAUGGUUCAUAUUUCCACUGUUUAUACUGUUAUUACGUUAUUAUACUCAUGAAGAUCAUCCUAGCAUUUUAUUGUAUACUCUCCUAGUGGGCAUGACAUACCUUAUACUCGCGAGUCCACAAGACUCACCUCGUUUUAUUAAAAAUAUUUUCAGGGAAUUCUCCUUUUGAUUAUUGGUCCAGCAGAUCUUCUGGGAUGAUACCUACUCGUUCUCGGACAGCAUCCAGGCAGACAGAUUCUUUAGGGGGUGAUCAGGCUCCUCAGCCCUCACCUACCAGUGGUUACACGGUCAGAGGCCGUGGACGAGGUCGUGGCGAACGACGUGGC